Saimiri boliviensis boliviensis (Bolivian squirrel monkey) is the source of this 74-nucleotide non-coding RNA. The record is from the annotation of a RefSeq genome assembly. NCBI's taxonomy places the organism in Eukaryota, Metazoa, Chordata, Mammalia, Primates, Cebidae.
GUGUCUGUGGCACAGUUGGUUAGUGCAUUCGGCUGUUAACCAAAAGAUUGGUGGUUCGAGUCCACCCAGAGAUG